RNAcentral lists this long non-coding RNA (360 nucleotides) under Salmo trutta (river trout). Its description in RNAcentral is "lncRNA (ENSSTUG00000037435.1)". The record is from RNAcentral. Lineage: Eukaryota; Metazoa; Chordata; Actinopteri; Salmoniformes; Salmonidae.
CAGGUAGCUGGGGUAGAAUAGGUACAGGUAGCUGGGGUAGAAUAGGUACAGGUAGCUGGGGUAGAAUAGGUACAGGUAGCUGGGGUAGAAUAGGUACAGGUAGCUGGGGCAGAAAGGUACAGGUAGCUGGGGUAGAAUAGGUACAGGUAGAUGGGGUAGAAUAGGUACAGGUAGCAGGGGUUGUGGUGCAGGUAGCUGGGGUAGAAUAGGUACAGGUAGCUGGGGUAGAAUAGGUACAGGUAGCAGAGGUAGAAUAUGUACAGGUAGAUGGGGCAGAAAGGUACAGGUAGCUGGGGCAGAAAGGUACAGGUAGCUGGGGCAGAAUAGGUACAGGUAGCAGGGGUAGAAUAGGUACAGGUA